RNAcentral lists this long non-coding RNA (4910 nucleotides) under Phoenix dactylifera (date palm). Its description in RNAcentral is "long non-coding RNA (PDAC_LNC001252)". Lineage: Eukaryota; Viridiplantae; Streptophyta; Magnoliopsida; Arecales; Arecaceae. The record is from RNAcentral.
CUGCAUAUCAAACUUUAUCAUUCUCUUAUAGAAACUUUUCAAAUGGCAUUUCCAAGAAACUCUAAAUGAUUAAGCACAAUGAUGCAAAAAAAUUAACAUGAAUCUCCAUCACAUCAAUGAAAGUGCUAUGAUUGGGCAAAAGAGGAAAGCUGAAGUUCUGAUCAUAAAGCUGGCUAAACAUUUCCUUAAGUAACCUGAAGACUUGAGGAAAGGACCCAUCUUACUCUCUAUUUCAUCAAACCUUUCUUUGCACCAUUUCACAGUAGGUUCAUCCAUUUUGUUGACAACAACAACCAACUUAGCAACACCCAAAGUUUUUGCAAGUUGUACAUGCUCACGAGUCUGUCCUCCUUUUUCAAAUCCAGUUUCGAAUUCACCCUUACGAGCAGAUAUGACCAGAACUCCAAUAUCAGCUUGAGAUGCACCACUGAUCAUGUUUGGCACAUAACUUUUAUGACCCGGAGCAUCUAAAAUUGUGAAUCUUGUAUUUUCUGUCUCAAAAUGAGAAUUAUUUCAAACCUUCUAUACCCCAUACUACUAUAUAAAGGAAACUACCAUCCAAUUCUACAAGACUCUUCAAUCUACAGUAUGUGCUCGCCUUUUCCUCUUCCAAGCUUACCUUCAACCUUUUUUCUCUUCUCCCAAUUUUAUCCUUUUAAAAAUGACAGAUUAUAAAUACAUUCUGUCUUAUAAUAACCAAACUAAAUGUGUAUCCAAUUGUUUCACAACUGAAGACCACUUGGUGCAUCAAAUCAUGAUCAUUCAUCCUGAAUUAUAGUACCAUUUGCAGCACAUGUAAUGGGAUCACAACCAUAUACGUUGUUCAGAUCAAGAGUUGAAGUACUGGCUACCAGUGCCUACACUAGUAUAAAACCAGUACGGCAUGCAUCCAUAUAUUAUGGUGCCAUACUAAAACAAACCACCCAUUGGUGCUGGCACAGCAUGACUAAGAUGCAUAGCAAGAAAUGUACCAGUACUUUACUAGUACAUACACUGGUAUGCACCAGUACUUUACUGGUACACACACUGGUAUGCACCAGUACUUAAAUCCUUUAUUUGAAAUAAAAAGAAAAAUUAAUGGUAAACUACGUGAUUCAUUAAUUACUCCUUUCUGUUUGAUGCAUCACAUGCAAUAUAAUGUAUGAAAUCCAUCAUGCCCAUUCUGGGUGCCAAUAAUUGGUUGGCAACUAGAAGAAAUAGAAGUGAUUUCUGACCUGAGAGGACCUUUAGGAUCCCGUGGAGGAACUUCAAUUGAAUCCAGAACUUCAAACAAGCAUGGACCAUUCCACCAAUCACAAAUGCUUUUCUCCACUCUAGUCUUCAUAUUGGUACCCACCAAACCAGAGAUAGGAAGAAAUUGAACAUCUGGAUAAAGUGCAUAAGGAACAGAUAACUGCAUCAGUGAGUACUGAACCUCAUUUUUUAAUGAUAAUGAUGAAUUGAUCAUUAUCUUUCACUUCAAAUCUUAACACAUAAAAGAAAUGAUGGGUACAAUUUUAGCAAAAAUAUCCAUAGCAAACGGAAAAAUCACAAGGUCCAUACUCAUGGCAGAACCCAAGAAUAACAAUUUAAAGAGGCUUGCAUGGUAGAUCAAAAAUAAUUCCUUGAAAGAGGCAAACUUAAUUAAUUGCAUCUAAACAAAAAUAUGGUUGGCAAGUUUCACAUCAUUCCUUAAACUUUUAAAGCAAGAGAACAAGCACCACCAAAAAAGGAACCUAGUGCGCUGUUAAAAUAAAUACUCAAUAAUUGUACCCAAAAAAAAAAUUGGCCGAAGCUAUGAAGCAGAGACAUGGAUAUACGAAAAUAAGGCAUGAUGUGAAUACACCAAUACAGAACUUGAAAAAUAUGAUCCAGUGGCAGGAAUGUUGCAAUCAAUAAAUAUGCAUUUACUUUACAUACAUGUUAUUUAUGUUACAUACAAGCGAAAAAGAUUGCUGAAAACAUAAUGGGAUAUUAUAGCAACACAGUCCAUAUUCUGCAAUAACAUAAACAUCCACAAACUCCAGUUAGUUAUCAUUCUAAUUCACAGAUCAAAAUUCAUACUCCAUCCUAUCACAUCAACAUCACAAUCUAUAAUUUCCCACCCAUGAUGUCCAUGAUUAAGAGGUUAAGAUUUAUGGGGAAAAAGGCUCCAUAAUCCUUCAUCUCUAAAUCCAACUGCUGCUUCCCUCUCUCUCCCUCAUCAUUAAAAAAUUAAGAUUCAUAACCCCCAAAAACAACUCCCACCUCACCUCAAAGUCCAACCACAGCAUCCCCCUUUAUCUCUCUCCUCCCUAUUGGAAUUAGGGCAGAUUAUCUUGAGAUCGAGGAUUUAAGUACCAGGUGAUAUCACUCCAUACCGCCUAGACAGGGCAUACCAUAACAGACCAUCAGGGAGCUCACAUUCAAUAUGCCCCCUGCACUAAGUGCCAAUACCAAGGAUGUACCAUAAGUACACUCAGUACGGCCUGCAUUGGUUGGGUGUAAAUACAGGUGCUGAAACCAAUAAUUAAAUCCUUGCAUGAGAUAGGGGCUAGAGGCCCAAGUUUAGCGGAUGUCAAUCUAGGUUCAAAACCAGCCUAACCCAACCCAAUGCCCAAUCAAUUGUCCAGAGACACAUCCAAGAAAUAUCUAAGGGCUUUCUAAUACUUAAAAUUGUUGUUUAAUGUUUGUCCAGCUGUACUCGAUGAGUCAAGAUAUAUGAUUCAUACUUGGAAUGGCCACAGCAUGCAACUUUGAAGCAUCAGUGAGUCCUAACCAAGAAAGGCAAUGCAUAGAAUUGCCAAUGACCAAAUGACUAGUUUUAUGUAACAGUGUAUUGAUUUGGAAUAAAUAAGCCUCCUCAGAUCAAAAUGUAACAACCAAUAGAUUCAUCAACAGCUUGUUGACGUGGAUAGUGGAAUCUAAUGGAUUGUACUACCCACGAUUUGGAUCGUACAGUCCAAAAAAGUGGAUCACCUGAUCAUUUCCAAAAACAAUGCGGAUACCCGACUUGGACAUUUGGCAAUCGAACAGUAGCCAGCCAGCUCAUCAAUGUUUACUGGUGGAUAAGUCAGUGGCGAUGGGUACAGUGGCACCAGUGGCUAAUGCUAGUACCACACUUGGAUAAUCUUUUUUUUUAACCUCUCCCUCUCCCCCCCCCCCAAUCACCCACCAGGAAAAGAAAAAAAACUUUUUCUUUUUCUUCUACUGAUUUUUUUUUCAUCUGCUUCCCCUGUUUUUCUGUUUUCCCCUUGCUAUACUUGCUAGCCUUUGUUUUGCCUGCCUCCUUCCCCUCAACCUUUUCUUCUUCAUGUUCGUUUUGCAGCACAUUUGCUACUGCUUCCCAGCCAUUCUCCUUCUCUUUCUCCUUGCCAGGGGCUGGCUUCCUUGCUACAGCCCUGCAUCCUAUUGUGUGCUGCAGUGGCAGCAAUGCUGUUGCUGCCCUCCAUUUCUUCUUCUUGUGGACUUUGAUCUUUGGUCAUUUACGCAUGAAAACCGGUCUAAUGAUGCCAUAUAUAGUGAAAAAGGUUCAUGUGCGUGUGCACAUGGUUAUGCAUAUCAUCAAAAGCAUGUAUAUUACUAAAGGUGUGCAUAAUUAAGGCAUGGAAGCUUUCCUCCCUAUGCAGCUGCCAAAACCUAGGCUCCCACCUAGGUCGUAUAGAGGAGGGUCCACUGCUUGGGCUUGCCCAGGCAGUUCGACAAGCAGGAGAUUAGGUUUUUAUUUGCUCAACCUGCAAGUUGUUUAGUCACCGGUCACCCAACCAGGUUGUUCAAAUAGUUGGUGCACCCAAUUCACCGGUUUGGGCAGGUUCACCAACUACUGAACUCCAAGUUUUACCAUGAUAUAACAUGCUUAGCAGGUGGCAGGUUAACCGGGUCAACCCAAACGGUCAACCAGGUUUCAAAAAGCUGCUUAGCACAACUUUGAAAUAUAUGGUUGUGAGCUAACUAAACUAGCAAAGAUAUCAUAAGAGAAAGCAGCACCAACCAACAAAUGAAAAUAGCUCACAACACCAAAAAUAAAUAAAUAAAUAAGCUAAAAUACUCGUCCACCAAUAUAGCAAUAGUGUGCAUGGUAAAGCAAGAAUGCAACAAAAAAGCAGCCCAGCACACGAGUCUCCUGCCACUACAAGGUUUGAGGAGGGUCAAAUAUACGCAGCAUUACCCUACAUGCUAAGAGGUUGUUUCUAUAUUUUGAACCCAUGGCACUGUCGUCAUAGUGGAGCAACCUUACUGCUGCACUAAGGCUCACCCUCAAAGUAAGAAUGCAAUGUCAUAUUUAAUUCUACCAACCAAACAACCAUUACAAGAAUAUGAAAAAGAAAAUAAUGUUGAUGACAGAACGAGGAUUCCUGAAAAUUUUGCAUGUUUGCUGUUCUUUUAUUUCAAAAAAAUAGUUCAGAAUGAAAACAAUUCAAUUAAAAAGCCAACACAGAAAUGUCAAAUAAGUAGAUGAUCGACAAAAAAAAAAGUGAAUAUGAAAAGGUAAUGGGUCAAGUAAAUUAUAUAAGUAGAUGAUCACAAAAAAAAAGUGGAUAUGAAAAGGUAAAGAUGUGGGAAAGGGAAUAAAAUCAAUAGUGGGAAAAUGUGAAAAGCAUGAAUAUAGCUCAUGAAAACUUGACCACAAUACCUUUCCUUAAGUAACCUGAAGACUUGAGGAAAGGACCCAUCUUACUCUCUAUUUCAUCAAACCUGAAAAGAAAAAGCCCGAAAAAAAACAAAAAACCUACCAAUCUUGAGCAGAAAGAUCAUAAAUUUAAAUUACUCACAGAAAAAAAAGGAUGAGAACAUUCGAACAAACCUUUCUUUGGACCAUUUCACGGUAGGUUCAUCCAUUUUGUUGACAACAACAACCAACUUAGCAACACCCAAAGUUUUUGCAAGUUGUACAUGCUCACGAGUCUGUCCUCCUUUUUCAAAUCCAGUUUCGAAUUCACCCUUACGAGCAG